Molecule: ribosomal RNA, 200 nt
Filed under: uncultured bacterium
Lineage: Bacteria
Description: partial 16S ribosomal RNA
Rfam family: Bacterial small subunit ribosomal RNA
Source: RNAcentral
GAUGAACGCUAGCGGCAGGCCUAACACAUGCAAGUCGAACGGCAGCACAGUAAGAGCUUGCUCUUAUGGGUGGCGAGUGGCGGACGGGUGAGGAAUACAUCGGAAUCUACUUUUUCGUGGGGGAUAACGUAGGGAAACUUACGCUAAUACCGCAUACGACCUCGGUGAAGACAGGGACCGUCGGCCGUUCGUCGCGAUGA